UGUCAUUAAAUAUGCUAAAUAAUUAAAAAUUGAAGGGAAACCAGGCAACUUUUCAGAAAUUGACAAUGGCAAGCUCUCUUUGUUUAUUCUGCUUAGAAUAAAGUAGCAUGGACUAGUUGGCUCAUGACUAACACAGACUCAUAGUUUCUCAUAGUUCCAAAGCUGAGAGACAUACCUAACGCCAGCAUGGUCAGAUUUUGAUGACAUGUUACAGGUGACAACUGACUUAUUUUUUUCCUCCAGUGGCAGAAAAGAAGGUGAAAGUGUUCUCUGGGAUACCUUUUAUUUGGGCUUUCCUUCCAUUCAUGAGGGUUCCAGGCCAUGACCUCAUGAAUUUCCAAAGACUUCACAUAAUGCUAUAUAACACUAAUGACCAGAGUGAAGUGAUGCAAUUAUUCUGUUCCUACAAUGGACUAGUACAGAAAGAGGCAAUGGCAGAGGCACAAUGAAAUAAAACUAGAAGAAAAAUUAAUGUGUCAAUUUUCUUUUGAUGAACUUGAGAUCUUUGUUCCACGGUUUAUAAUCUCAGCUCCCUCAACAGCUUGCUUACUAAUCUUACCACAAACAUUGGAAAGAAAGAUGUAACCCACAACUUUUUAAAUUAAGUUUGUCAUGAGAAGAAUGUUUAAAUUAAGUUAGAUGCUAAGCAAAAGAAAUGAAAUUCAAACGUUGGUUAAUAAAGUGCCUAAGAAGAUAGUAAAUAUCCAGGCAUGCAGUGCAGCAGACUGUAUGUACUCCUAACCUACAAAGUCUCAGCAGUAAUGCACUCUGGGAAAUCAGCCCCAGGCCUUCUGGGAGAGGAUAAAUAAGCAAGGAGGGGAGGAGGGGACCUUUGUUCUGUCUCUGAACUAGCUCUUUACAAGUUUAAUCAAAUUUGGAAUUCGAGGGUUAAGGCUGAAAACUUUUAGAGCAGAUCUGGUUUUGCUCAGAUGAUAAUAGCAUCACUCCAGAGAUUCCCAGCCAGUUGUCAGGGAUAUACACAAUGAGGUUCAGCUCUACAGUGUGGGAGCCGGCAAAAUCUAGGUAGAAGUGAUAGACCCCAGACUCAGGGCACUAUCCUCUAAGGUGGGCGCCCCAGAAACCCGGAUUCCAGACCAGUUGCUGCAAUCACAUGAAGCUUUAUUUUAACCGUUUGCACACACAAUCCCUACACAAUUCAGUGAGAGGAGCCCCGAACAAUAAUUGCAGGCAUCUUUUAAAGUCAAAAACCACAAAAAUUAACAUAGCGUUCGGGGCAAUACACAAUUGGCUAGUUUAAAGAUCAGCACCGGAGAGGGGGAGUACAGCUAUGGGGACUUUCCAUGGGGGCUGCUUUUCUUCCUAGAAUAGCCACAGGAUCUUCUGCUAGACCCAGACAACGUCACAAGGUUAUUCUGCUGAUGCCACGAGAAAUAUGACAAGAAUAUUUCUGCUGAGGCUAACGGUUUGGGGACCUGGUUUGGGGGCCCGAGGCUGGUACUCGUUCCUCUUUCUCAUGUUUAAUUCUUUCAGAAGGUCCUGAGGAUCUAUGUGGGUUGAACAUUUCUGAUUGGUUCACUGAUGUUGAGCUUAGCCUUAUAACUUUUUUGGUCAAUGAAAUGUUAUAGUAUCUAAAAAGGCAUAUUUUAAAAAUUCUGAUUAUAUUCUGUAUUCUAUGUCUGUCUCCUGGGAUCCUUAGGUAGUGGCUGCAUCAUCAGUCUAGGCCUAUAUUGCAUGUAUGUAUCUGAGAUCAAGCUCAGACUGUAGCCUUAGGUAAAGGCUAAUUGAUCCACAGCCUGAAGCAGGCCUACUCAUCCAGACAAGCCUUGCUGAGUCACUGGAACCUAGUGUCCCUCAGACCUGUGAGUGCAGUGAUAUCUCACUAUGAUUGUAAGCCAUUGAGUUUUUAUGUGACUUAUUUUGGAGCGUAUUGUCAAAAUAGGAAACUAAUAGGAUUAUCAAAGUGCAUGUGUAUAGUUUCCUUUCAAAAUCUUUAAUAUUAUCCCUGGGUAUUUGCUAUUAAUAUUUAUUAACAGGAAUUUUUACAGUAACAGUUUUUCAUCGUCAACUGCACAGCCUGCAGCUUUUGUCCUAAGUGUUCUCAGCCCCAGUUCACCUGGAAGACUCAUCAGGAGCAAAGAUAACAACUACCCUUUAGCUAGAUCCUCUUAGUAUUUUGAAAAUAUUUCAUCAGUUCAUAAAUGCAUGGAUUCAGCCAGUGAAUAUCAAAUGUGAUCCAUGCAUGUAUUUGCUCAUUAGAGAAAAGGCCCAAUCAGUCCACAUGUUUAGUAAAAGCACCAAGAAAGUCGUUUUCUUCAAGAACAUCUGUCAAAAAAAUCUUUCUGCUGAGUCAUUGAUACCCAGGAGAUUCUGCUGAGUCAUUUAUCCCCAGAAGAUAUGUUCACAUUUUCAUACCAUUAUGAGAAGUGAUUAUAUUUGCAGAAAGGAGUAGAAAUAACAGUGAUGCGGCAUGAUCUGAGGGGUGUCUCUGAGUUGGGGGUCCUUAGUAUAUAUGAACCACUGUUUGGUAUAAAGAUGUGUUGUUGUUUCCUUAUUUUAGAGAGGCUGAUUCUGAACUGGAAAGUUUUGUAAAAUACGAAUAAUUUCUCUAUGAGGGGAUAAGAAAAAGGAGAAUUUUGAAUCAAACUGAAAAUUGUUUCUGUAAAUUAAAUGUCUACCCCAAAUGGAGUUUAAAAAGCAGUCAACUUUAGAGAGAAGUGUGUUUGAUUGUUUUAAUGAAAAAAUUUUAUGGAAUUUAUUUUGAUCAUAUUCUUUCCCCUCUCCACACUCCUUCCAGGUAUUUUCUACCUCUCUACCCAGCAAACGUCAUGUCCUCCUCCCCCCAAAAAGAAAAGGAAAAUAACAAAACCCACAAAAAUCAAAACAAAUCAACAAACAAAAUACCAAAGUAAACAAAUCAAACAAACAAAAAGCACACAAUAAACAGAGUGUAUUUUUUGUUGGUCAAGGACUCCUGGGCAUGGGGCCUGCCCUGGCAUGUGACUGAAAUACCCUGUGUUAAUCCACUGGAUGAAACUGAUUUUCUCUUUCCCAACAGUUAUCAGUUGGAAAUUGUUCCUUGUUUUCAUUGCAGAGCAAGCACCAUCAUUUUCCAGAUCAACAUAAUGAGACCAAAGAAGCCUAUUUAAUAUCAGAGCUUGAUUUGAAGUAAAAUUGGACAUCUUGAACAAGGCAGAAUUCCAUCACAAGUUAAGUAAAAGUGCAAUUAUCCUUUCUCAGAAUCCUAGAUACCUUCAAUUAUGAUAUAGGAGAGACAAUCACAAAACCAGAUGCCUAAGUGUAAUCAAAAGCUUAUAUAAGAGAGGGAGGUCAGUGAGUUAAUAGAUGUGGAAUAAUGAUGUGUAUUUUUUUAUCAUCUCGCAGGGUUUACCAACCCUCUCCAAUUGCUGAGUUGCAAGGAUUUCUGAGGAUGUGAAGCUUCAGCAUAUGAUAUAUACGGGAUUCAAAAGGACAUUUGAGAAGUCACAUGUGUUGAACUGCCUCUGCCCUUUUCUCAUUCUAGUCACUAUGAAGUAAAAAGAGUAUGCUUGCAAAUGUACAUAGGACCUCCUGCAUAAGGACAAUUAAUUCCCUCUGUUGAAGAUGUUUGUAACAUCGAUUAGUUGAAAACUUUGAACAUAAUUCUGAAAUGAACCAAAUAAAGAUGUACAGUCCAUAAAACUUGAUCCACAUUGAAUUAUACACACAUCCUGGGUAUUGAUGCUUUGUAAUAAUAUAACUCCCUCGGGCAUUUUUCUAUUGACUACUGUAGAAUAGCUAAGUAAGUCAGAGCAAUUUUAUGUGUUAGUUUCAUUUACCUGCUUUAGAUUCCUUAGAUCCUUUGAUUGAUUUUAAUGAAGUUUUAUUCUGUGAAAUGCAUUCUGGCAGGCUUUUGGCUAGCUAUUUUUUAGAGUUUCAUCUGUCUAAGCAUGAUAAAUGUUGCUAUGACUAAGGAGAUAGUUACAUUAGAUAAAAGUUACUUGUAAAAUGUUAUAGUAGAUAAAGUUAAACUUGCAAUUUGCAUUUGAAGACAAAACCUACAAGCAAAUACACCAGAAGCUGCAUGUGCAGCCUUCAGUUUGAAUGGGUGAAAGACUAACAGCUGGCUGACUACGGAGGUGGGAGGUGGAAGUGAAGUCCCUCUGCUAAGGCUGUUGGUUGUGGUUGCUUGCUUGCUCUCUACGCAUGCGCUGUUCUCUGGGAGCUGCUGCUAUCGUUGCUCUAUGUUUUAUUUUUCAUGUGGAGAUUGUUUCAUAGAGCAUAAAUCAGAGUACAGGGUAUGCUUGUCAUCACUUCACUAAUACACUUGUCUUUUGACUUUAAGAGGUGAAGGUAAAUGGAACUGUGUGUUUGACCCUCAUGGGGACAGUUAUACAUUUUCCUAGGCCACAGCUCUUCUUGGCAAUAAACACUGCCAUGUUAAACCAACUAAGCAUGUUAUUUUCUCUAUUUCAUGAAGAAAUUUCACAGAGCUUUGAGAAAACAAUGUAGAACUUCUGGCUACUUCAGUGGUUUAGAAGUGUGGGAUAAGUAUACAAUGACUCUUUUGUCCCUUAUAUUGUACCAACACUGGUAACAUUUGCUUCUUUCCCAGUUCCUAAAUCAGGACUCCUAAACCCCUUGGAAUACCUUGCAUGCAUCUUUAGUUAUAAAGCAACUACUGGUGGACUUCUCUGUAGUGUCAGGAUGGGGUCUUAUCAACAGAAAAACCCAGUGUAGUAGAAGCCUGGAAUAGUCCUACACCCUCUGAUCUCUGAGACAAAGUUGAGGAUGGAGAUUAAUGGAUUAACAGCAGGUUAUGCUUAUAAGAUUCAUGAACUGAUACAUAUCCUAGGAAGUUGCUGUGGCAUAACUCCAAGGGACAGACAAUCCUGUACCUCUUCAUGUAACUAUUCAUAUAAUAAACCAACAAACACAAACAUACAUGUCUUUCUGAUUUCUGUAAGCUAUCUUAGCAAAUUACUGAAGUGGGGAGGUAGUCUUUUUCAUAUAACAGCCUUAUAGCUGUUAUAUGAAAAGUUUGGGUUAUCCCGGAAUUUGGAACUAGCAUCUGGCGGGAGAGGAAUCUUUUAAGAGUAAGCCCUUAAACUAUGAGAUCUUUUAACUUAGCCAUUAGUGACAGAAUUGAAUUGAAUUUUUUAACACCUGGUUGGUGUUUGGAAAACCAGACAAUUAGUCAUUGGCAUUGGCAAAUACUCAAGUGUAGGGAAAUUAAGUAGUUCGAUUUCUACUGCAUGUUACUGUCCCCAGAUAAAUCUAGAGAUAUGCAAAUAUUACGGUAUGCUCAAACUAUGCCUUUUCAAUGAAAUUCAAGGGGCUAGAGGGAUGGCUCAGCAGUUAAGGGCACUUCGCUGCUCUUGUAAAGAAAUAGGGUCCAGUUCUGAGCAGUGAUGUGGUAGUUCACAACUGUUUAUAACUCCUGUUCCAGGGGAUCUCUUGGUCUCUGUUGGCACUAGGCACAUAUGUGGUGAGCAUACAUACAUACACAGAGGCAAAUGCUAAUACUCAUAAAAAGAAAUGAGUAAUUAUUUAAAAGCAAUUCAAGAGCAAGUGGUAGUUAUGGUGACAAAGAUGAUUCGGAUAACUAGGUUAAUAACCAAAUGUAUGGAAUAGUUACUAAAAGUCAUUCAUUGAUCAGAGCAUUUUUCAUACAUUGUUUUAUUUAAUUGUUAGACCAAUGCACAAGAUAGCUAUCAUUAUCCCUUCCAGUUUAAAAAUGAGUAAAUAGAGUCUUGCCAAUACUAUAAUAAUAAAUAACUCUAUUAGGGUCACAUAUCUAGUGUCAGGCGGCCUAGGAACCCAGGUAAAAGAACCUAUAGCCAUUUUCCAAUCAGACAGCUAUGAAGAUGAAGGGUCAUAACUUCCACAUAGUCAGGUUUGUAGAAAACUAAGCCCCAAACUUGCUUACCAGCCUAGAAAACAAAAGCCAAGUUUAACUGACAUGUAAGCACUGGCUUGAAAUAGGUCCUUCAACCACAUAAGGGAAAGAUUUUUGGAGGAAAUGAUCAGUAGGAGACUGGGUGACAAUAGCAGUUGGUUUUGUGGCGGUUGGUGUGAUAAGAAGCACAAGAGGUGUUUAUCUGGCCACAGGUUUUCCAAGAGAAGUAUGUAGUGGAAAGAAUGGGGAUAUUUAAGCACGUUGGUUAGCUGAUGUGUGUUGUGGGAUCUUACCUUCUAUAGCGGAGGUCCAUGGCCUGGUUUUAGUGCUGAUUCUGGCAGAAGAAGAUGCCAGGGUUAGAGUCUAGACCACUCUAAACAGAAGCUCAUGACACAAGAAUUCUUAAGAUUUUUUAUUUACUUUAUGUAGGUGAGUGCUUUGCCUGUACUCUGUAUAUGCAUGGACACAGUGUAUACCUGGUGUCCAUGGCCAGAAGAUCUCAUAGAACUGAAGUUAUGGACCAUUGUGAGGUGCCAUGUGAUCGCUAGUGUCUGAACCUGAGUGCUCUAUAAGAAGAGCAAGUACUCAACCCCUGAGCCAUCUCUCCAUCUCCCAACGAUGAAUUUUGUGUAUUCUUAUGGAAGAUUUAUUUCUGGAUAGAGGUAUGUAGACCCAGGGUGUUUGGGGUUUGUUGGAGGUUGGAGGAUGUACUUGCAGUUGUCUUUUGUGUUGGGUAAGUCAAAAGCAAGGCUAUUGGUUCUUGCCAUUUGUGUGGGGAAAGAGGGAUUGGAGAAAGGAACAUAAAAUGAUUUAGCUUGCCCCUCUAGUAUCAGCAACUUUAAUGUGUUUAUUUUAAUUCUGAAUGUUCUGUUCAUCUGAUAUUAUUAAUUUUAGUUUACUGCUGAGAAUAAAUAAAACAUGGGGCUUUAAAAAAAACACUCCAAAGUUAUAAAAGUAGUGGGAAAAUCUAGGCUUUAAAUCCAGCUCAACUGACUCCAGAUACUUUGCUUUUUAUACAAUAGCAUGUGGUGAGACAUAUUUUGUUAGCUGGAAGUCUCCUGCCUGAGUCUACUAAUAUGAAUUGUGAACAUAUGGUCAUGCCUGAAUCUUGUCUAGACCUUUUGUUAAAACAAGGAGACAACUGCUGUGACCUAUGGCUUGUGUUUUCCCCCAAGUUUGUCUCAAUGUUUUAAGAAAGCAAGUAUUGCAUGUCUAUACUCAGCUUUCACUGAACGUUUCCACAGUCAUCACUAAUAAUUCUGACAGAUAAUAGGAGGGGAUUGAAACAGAAGUUGUUAUUUGCAGGGGCUGUGAGAGAGCUUGGCUUUUCUUGUAGAGAUGGAUUGGGAAGCACCAGCUGUUGUGUCAUGGGCUCUGUCUUAAACAGUGUUCCUCAUCCUCCACAUCCCAGUCAUCACACAGAUUCUCCACACAACUUCACUGCAUCACUGUCAACUUGAAACCGUAGUUGAGGAAGAAAUUUCUGCCUGAGCUUACUCCAGGGUCUGGGUGGACAUUGGCUCUCUCCAGUCACUGACUCCUGGUUGUCAUAAUUUCCACAUAGCAUAGUGCUCUGUAUGCCAUCUAAUGACUACUCCAUCCUGGUAGAAAACAAGUACUCAAGGUAGCAGUAUUUUCACCCCUUUGUACCCCCUUAUUUUUCUAAGUAUCUAAUAAGUCUUUGUUAAGAUGAGAAAUUGUAGCUCCAGGGAGAACUGCUUGAGGCUUCUUUACUGGACAGGCAUGUUAAGGGGUGGAAAGGUCCUAAGUAGAAACCCUGAGGCAUGGGCAGGAAAAUGCACUUGGCUGAGAAUGUUCUAGACAGUAGUUGAAGGAUAUUUUUCAACAUAGGUAGCUAGUUACAGGGUCUGGCUAUUGGUCCCACCUCUGCAAGUCUCUGAAUUUGGAUACAGCCCUUAAUGCAAUCACUCACUUCUUUGUUUAUUGCCUAACAAGGUAACAUUGGCUAAUCUAUAGAAUGACAUACCAUGAGAGUUCUUUGAUUUUUAUCAAGUACUGCAUGAACAAAGAAUAUAUCUAAUUAUUUAUACUAAAUAACUAGUCUUAUUUAGAAAGGAGCCUUAAGAACCCAAAACUGAAUAACAUAACAAACAAUAGGAAAAAAAAAUGGAACAUUAGAAAUCCAUUUACUUCAAUGAAAAUACCUGACAUUACAAUAAAAAUAAUUUUAAUGUAACACCUUGCUUUAAAAUGUUAUUAGAAACUGUCACACCAUAUAAUCAUGCACGCCUCCUGCAUUCUAAUGAAAAUAAACUGUUGUUUCUUUUGAGCCUGUCUCCAGAGGAAAGUCCUCAGGGAUAAACCCAGUCAUUCAGUCGCAUAAUAAUACGACUGUCUUUCUGUGUCCUGGCAGACAGUGAUGUACAGAGGAGAAUGCAGAAGGCAGUGGGAAUGAAAACUGAAUGUGGCGUUUUUUGUCAUGACUUUAUUUCCUACAGCUGACUGUCUUAGAUACUUUCUUUCAUUUCAUUCUCAGUAAGCUAUAGUUUGACUCUACAUUUAAAUUAUCUGGCUUUUAAUACCGUCUUUACUUCACCCCAGUUACUUUGAGACAUAUUUAUCUCUGUGAGCAUCAGUUCUUUUAACACAGAAAGAGCAUAUUAAUUGCUUUCAGGACUCAAUUAGAACAUGCACACCAGGUGCCUGGGGCUGUAGCUCAAUGGUAGAAUAGUUGCCUAGCAUGUUUGAGUUUCCGGGUUCAAUCCCUGCAUGUCCCUCCUCCCCUGAAAAAAAUCCAACAGUGAAACUUACGAAAAAUGUCUUGGUGCAUGCUAGCCAUCAAUAAAUGUUAGAAACUGUCCUGAUUGUCACCUUGUUUGGGGGCUGCCAUCAUGGUAGCAGAACCACCAUAUCUCAUAUUUGGAUGUUUUCAAGAAAUAAAAUAGCUUAGAAUUGAUUUAUGUUGCAUGGGAAUAUCAGUCAGUCCUGCUUAUUCUAGUUAAACUGCCUGGCAAUUUCAUCCCUACUCAAGUAUGUUCCUGUGCCUGUGCAUGUGCGUGUGCGUGUGCGUGUGCGUGUGCAUGUGCGUGUGCGUGUGUGUGUGUGUGUGUGUGUGUGUGUGUAUACACAUAUAUGUGCAUGUGUGUGCUUUCGUGUGUGUGCGUUGCUGGACAAACCUAAGGCUCCACAUAAGGCUCCUACCACUCUACCACACACCCUGUCUCACUUCCACUGUUUGUGUGCUUAAUCAAACCAUCAAUACUUGAGAAAAGGCCGUUGCUCUUUAAUUACCAGUUGUAAACUUAGAUGGGAGUAAAGGGAAGUGCGAAAAUUAAAGUGAGCUGGAUUGAUGUACUCCUUUGUAUAGUUUUAAGUAGAGUUGUUUAACACUGAUAUAUGAUUAACCGUCCUGCUUCUGACUCCUGGGAAAUGGUUCUUUGUCAGUGUGGUAGUUCUGAGAGCUCUGCUUUUCCUUUAGCAGGUACUGGUAGAAGCUGAAGCAGAUUAACUGUCCCAGGGAUGGUGGUGACGAACGCAAGGUAUAGAAGCCAGAAGUCCAUUUCACCUGGCUGAAAUGGUAUGGGAUGACUCAUCCCUCACGGGUUUGAGUUGGCCCAAACAAGUAAAAAAGAUACUUUCUGAGAACCAUCCUGGGUCUGCCUGAUGGUUUUAGCAACAGCAGCUGAAACAUGAUCUGGAGAUGACCUGGACCAAUGAGAGGCAGCCAUGUUACACCAGCAGAUGCAUAUUCAUCAGACCUCCCCCCAGGGUGGGGUAGAGGGUAUAUAAGGAUUGCCUCUUCCUGAAUAAACUGAGCUUGUUGUUUGGACAUUCUCCUGGAGUCUGUGUGGUUUGACUCUGUGCCUACUUGGCCCCCGCCCCCAAAGGGAACAACAGCAAGGACCCUGCAGCAGACAGGUUAUGUUACACAGCUGUCAGGAAAGCUCCUUGUUGGCCACAUGGUGGCAUCCUUGCAGUUAUGAUGGUAUUUAAAAGCUAACUGCAAGCUGGAGAAGGGAAUUCUUGACACAUCCCAUUAAAUGCUCAUCUUCAGAUGAAGUGUACAUGAAGCAUUAUGCAAUUGACCUAUAAAGACUGUAUAGUGCUUAGAGUGAAGAUUGGACCCAGGCUUAUCCUUGGUGAGGCUGAAAUUCUAAAAGUCUCUAGAGUUCAUGCUCCUGGAUCAUCAUCACCAUGCAUUCACAUUGAGAUCAAGAAGGUAACUAAAAGAGGUAAACACAUCAAUUAAGAAAGCACAAGGAUUUGAGAGAAUUAAAUGGAUUCUGGUGCCAUUGCUUUCCCAAGAGGAUCUCCAAGGAACUGCCUGGUCAGCAUCAGUCUGUGACUGUGGGCCCAGCAGAGACUCUGUUGAGCAGACACAGAAGAAACUUAGAAAUGGAACAUGAAUUUUAUGUAAGGGAAAAGGAAAGCUCUUUGCUGUUUAUCUCAGCAGUUUUCUGGAGACCAAAUGCUACACUUUAUCCCCACGAAGUACAUGAAAGCAAGUUGGUUGUAACUUGUAGCUGUCAGUCGGCUUUCAGAGUAGAAUCCAUGACUCUACAGUUUCAUGCCUAAUGUUUUUUGUUUUUAUCACUGUCAGAAUAAGCAUAUAGUCUCAUGCUUAAACAUGAAUCAGAAGUGUGCAUUCCUCUUUAAAUCAUAUAAACAAAACUUGAAGAUUCAGUGGUGUUGCAUGUAAUUUAAGACCGUGUGGACACAUGAAUUAGUUAAUUCUGUAGUGUCUAAUUGCCUAGCCAAACUGUAAUUUUGAAUAUGUUCUUUGGGUAAGGAAAAUAGGUUAGUUAUUGGGAUUAUAAUAUUCUUCACACACCUGUAAAAAAGUAUUUUUUGACUUCUGUGUAUAAAAUAGUUACCUUGUACUCCAUAAUGGCAAUGUUGUGCCAGUUUUAAUCCAAUCCAUAAGCAUAGUAGGGAAUCACAACUAUCUUUCAUAUUUUUUUUUCUGGCAUUAAGAAACGAUAAUCCUGGGAUCUAUAGGAUGAUGACUCAGUGCAUAUGGUGCUUGCCACCAACUCUGAAGGCCUGAGUCCACCAGAGGAACUCACAUGGAGGAAGGAGAGAACUGACUCCUGCACACAUGUGCUAUGGCAUACAGAUACUCCUGUGCAUGCGCUUGUGUGUGCACAUGUGCACAAACACACAUACACACACAAAUAAUACACAAAAAUAAAAUAAAAUUUAAAAAUGAUAAUGAUCUCAAUUGUGUCUUUAAACUCUAUUUCAAAAGUCUCAUCAAUUUCACUUAUAAGCAGACCUAAAUUUGACAACAAUCCUCCAAAUUUAUCAAAGUAUCCAUGAGCAGAGAGGCUAAAGAAUUAGGCACAGAACACUUUCUUCCUUACCAAGUUGAGCCCUCUACUUUUUAGUAUUUAUUCACAAAAAUGAAGCUGCUUUAAGUUGGAGAUAGCAACAGAAUUCUAACAUAUCAGCUUAAUGAAUAUUCUACUGUGAAUUUUAUGGUUAAAGAAACUAAGACAAACAAUGUUAUUCUUCUUCUAUGGCAAAGGAAGCAUCAUUGAAAACACCUUAACUACAUUUUUGGGUAUCUGGCGUGGAGUUUGGCGGAAGCAAUAUUGGGAUCGGGAGUUGAUAGGAGAGGACAUGUUAUGAUGACUAACUACCACAACGUGGUAUUUUCAAAUGCAUUUCUUUGUGCCAUUAGUAUUUUGCUGUUACUUAUAUAUGUAUUGUCGAUUUUUAUUGAUACUAGCUUUAUGACUUACGCUAUUUACUUAAAUUAAUGUAAAGUAUUCAUAGAGAUAAGCUUUAUCCCAGGAGACAAUAGGUACAAAUAAGAGUGAUGGAUCAAAAAACCAGUUCAGAAGCAGACAGGUGACACUGGCUGAACAUCAGAGGAAUCUAACACUGACAAAGUAAUGGAUGACAGUUGACAACCUAAAGAUAUCUUUUAAGAUAUGUAAAUGAGGCAGACUCACUGCAAAGUGAAUACAAAGACUAAUGAAGUGAAGUGAUUGCUUCCAAUGAUCCAAGGAUUGCUGAAAACCAGCACAAUAAGGAAGAGCCAAGGGACACCUCCAGCAGUGUACCCUUAUAGUCUCCUGAAGGUAGGUACCACAGGUUGAACACAAAAAUCUGAAGAUUUGAAGAGAGUAUCCAUACAUGAUUAGUGAAACAUGUUUCAACGUAUUGAGUCUUGUGUUGAAGUCCUCAACGAAUUUUCAGUUGAAUGGUGUUCAUGGUGAGAGAUGAAGGAAAGAACAGACUUUGAUUAACAGCUGAGUUCCACGUUUCACUUCAAAUUAAAUGCUGGAAGAAGCUCAUGACCCCAAGUGAGAUAAACCUCACCUGUGCUGCGAUGGUGCUGAGAACAUGCAUGGUUUUCUGUGCUGCCCAAAGUGCUGAGUGGAGGCUGCCCAAAGACAGUGAUGGACACAGGAGAGCACUUCAGCUACUCAGUGUCAUUGAAUUUCUGGAGGACAAGAGGGCAGCUGCGCUUGUUUGUGAACAAGGCUGGAGACUUCAGCAAGAGCCACACCCACAGAGCCUUCCAACCCUGUGUCAUCCAUCAAGUCAGAGAAAAGGGAAGCAGUCCGGAAAAGAGUGCUGGAGAGACGUGGGGAGGACUUUAAAGAGGAAGGGAAGGUCUACAGACUGAGGACUCCAGAUGAUGGCGAAGACGAGAACAACACUUGGAACGGGAACUCCACGCAGCAGAUGUAGAUCGCGGCACAGUGGGACAGUCUUCACUGCUUCCCCAGGAGUCCACUCCAGCUUCUGCUGGACAAGUGGGGCUGCUUAUGUUUUCAGACCAUGGGUACACUAUUUCUGCUUAGAGGUUAUGAGUUCAAGUUGUUUAACCUGAAAAAGUCAAAAUAGGAACUAGCUGGAUGCUAGGUCCUUGUACAGGGUAACCAGCUGCUCGCCCAGCCACCUACCAGUUCCUGCUCAAACUUUACAGUCCAAUGUUUCAUUUAGAAUACUUUUUGCUGCAAGAUUUUUAAGCUACACAAAGUAAUUGGUAUGUCACUGGGUAGUCUGACCCUAGAGCUCUUCCACUAGCUCUCAGGUGAUAAUGAUGGUUAGCAUU
Peromyscus californicus insignis is the source of this 12866-nucleotide long non-coding RNA. RefSeq lists it as uncharacterized. NCBI's taxonomy places the organism in Eukaryota, Metazoa, Chordata, Mammalia, Rodentia, Cricetidae. The transcript has 11 exons. The record is from RefSeq and is a predicted model, not a curated record.